RNAcentral lists this ribosomal RNA (1395 nucleotides) under Triticum aestivum (bread wheat). RNAcentral's name for it is "partial small subunit ribosomal RNA". Lineage: Eukaryota; Viridiplantae; Streptophyta; Magnoliopsida; Poales; Poaceae. The record is from RNAcentral.
AUGAUCCUGCAAGCAAGCAAUUGCAAGCAGCAGAGGAUCUAUCAAGAAUUAAUGCCUAUGCAGCUGUGUCAUCCUUGCCUUGCUGUGUAUGGCAUUCUUUUGCUUCUUUGUUGGCCAUUCGCUUGUGCCCAUGCUUAUGCAUCUCAGAGCCGGCUUGUCCCUGGCAAGCCGCUCUCCCCUGGGAGUGUCGUCGUCUCCCAAGAUGGGGUGUUUGCCCUGGGAUUCUUCUCCACCGAUGGGGAUGGGGAGAAGCGGCAGCGCCACUAUGUGGGCAUAUGGUACAACAGCAUCCCGGAGCGCACCGUGGUAUGGGUUUCUAACCGUGCGGCGCCCAUCACCACUAACCUUUCCUCUGCAAAUCUUGCGGUGACCAGCAGCUCCGGCAUAGUGCUGUCUGAUAGCGAUGGCCGUGCCGUGUGGACAACCAACAAGAGCAUCAGCAUCAGCGCGAGCGCGAGCGCGAGCACGGUGGAAGCAGUGUUGGACAACACCGACAACUUCAUCCUUCGGUCGUUGGCCGACAGUGCCAUACUAUGGCAAAGCUUCGACCACCCUACCGACACCCUCCUCCCCGGCAUGAACCUGAGGCUGAGCCACAAGACGCUCCCACUGCAGCACCUCGUGUCGUGGAAAGGGCAGCAGGACCCAUCCCCCGGCGAGUUCUCGUACGGCGCGGACCCUAGCAACCUCCUCCGGUGCUUCGCCUGGAACGGGUCGAGGCCACACCGGCGAAGCCCGGUGUGGACAAGCCACCUCUACAUGGGCGGAUUCAACGAGUCGGCCAUUUACAUGGCCUUGCAUCACGCCGGCGACGAGGUGUACAUGUCCUUCGGCAUGCCGGCUGGCUCCUUCGUCCAGCUGGUGAGGUUGGAGAUCGACUACUCAGGCAAGGUAAAUAUACUAAGCUGGCAGAGCAACAUGUCCGCAUGGAGGGCCCUGUACGCAGAGCCUCAACAUGAGUGCAAUACGUACGGCUACUGCGGUCCUUAUGGUUACUGCGACAACACACAAAUCGUCCCGGUUUGCAAGUGCCUUGACGGUUUUGAACCGAGGGAUGCUAAAGGAUGGAUCUCCGGUAGCUUCUCACAGGGAUGCCGCCCCAAGGAGGUGCCAAGGUGCACCCAUGGAGACAGUUUCUUGGCCUUUCCGGGCAUGAAGGUCCCGGACAAGUUCCUUCGUGUCCCGAGCAGAAGCUUUGAUGAGUGCACCGAGGAAUGCAGAAGCAAUUGCUCCUGCGUGGCAUAUGCUUACUCCAAGAUGAGCAACAUAGAUAUUGACGGGGAUGACACAAGAUGCCUGUUAUGGAUAGGCGAUUUUAUCGACAUGGAGAACAACCAUCAAGGAGGGGAGAACCUCUAUGUUCGGACUAAAAGAUUGCCGCCGCACCCCCCCUAG